Molecule: ribosomal RNA, 340 nt
Filed under: uncultured soil bacterium
Lineage: Bacteria
Description: bacterial SSU rRNA
Rfam family: Bacterial small subunit ribosomal RNA
Source: RNAcentral
GGAUUGAACGCUGGCGGCAGGCCUAACACAUGCAAGUCGAGCGGUAGAGAGGUGCUUGCAUCUCUUGAGAGCGGCGGACGGGUGAGUAAUGCCUAGGAAUCUGCCUAGUGGUGGGGGAUAACGUUCGGAAACGGACGCUAAUACCGCAUACGUCCUACGGGAGAAAGCGGGGGACCUUCGGGCCUCGCGCCAUUAGAUGAGCCUAGGUCGGAUUAGCUAGUUGGUGAGGUAAUGGCUCACCAAGGCGACGAUCCGUAACUGGUCUGAGAGGAUGAUCAGUCACACUGGAACUGAGACACGGUCCAGACUCCUACGGGAGGCAGCAGUGGGGAAUAGUUGG